This 93-nucleotide non-coding RNA is filed under the name Roseibium aggregatum. RNAcentral describes it as "Labrenzia aggregata Glycine riboswitch aptamer". It matches the Rfam family "Glycine riboswitch aptamer". Rfam says of the family: This family represents the bacterial glycine riboswitch. The record is from Rfam by way of RNAcentral. Lineage: Bacteria; Pseudomonadati; Pseudomonadota; Alphaproteobacteria; Hyphomicrobiales; Stappiaceae. RNAcentral also lists the same sequence under 1 other name.
AAUGUUUAUGCGGGAGAGGCCGGGUGAAAGGAUCCUGGCGCCGAAGGAGCAACCGCCCCGGAAACUCUCAGGCAGAAGGACCGCAUGAACUGC